This 460-nucleotide ribosomal RNA is filed under the name uncultured bacterium. RNAcentral describes it as "partial 16S ribosomal RNA". It matches the Rfam family "Bacterial small subunit ribosomal RNA", at positions 338 to 795 of the family's 1533-position model. The record is from RNAcentral.
CCUACGGGCGGCAGCAGUGAGGAAUAUUGGUCAAUGGACGAGAGUCUGAACCAGCCAAGUAGCGUGAAGGAUGACUGCCCUAUGGGUUGUAAACUUCUUUCAUAAAGGAAUAAAACGAGGCACGUGUGCCUUUUUGCAUGUACUUUAUGAAUAAGGAUCGGCUAACUCCGUGCCAGCAGCCGCGGUAAUACGGAGGAUCCGAGCGUUAUCCGGAUUUAUUGGGUUUAAAGGGAGCGUAGAUGGGUUGUUAAGUCAGUUGUGAAAGUUUGCGGCUCAACCGUAAAAUUGCAAUUGAUACUGGCUGUCUUGAGUACAGUUGAGGUAGGCGGAAUUCGUGGUGUAGCGGUGAAAUGCUUAGAUAUCACGAAGAACCCCGAUUGCGAAGGCAGCUUACUAAACUGUAACUGACGUUGAUGCUCGAAAGUGUGGGGAGCAAACAGGAUUAGAUACCCGAGUAGUC